CAUGAAGCUCAACUGCCACCUCUGCCAAGAAAGCAAGCCUCUCGCUGACGCUCCCAGGAUUGGAGAGUGUUCUUAGGAGAACCAGCCCUUGCCAGGAGACAAGAAUGAUUUAUUUUGAAGACAACAUCUUCACACGUGUGUCCCUGCAUAUCCGGGACCCUGGCUGUGUGUCAGUUUCUUGCUCAGGGAAGCUGUCAUUGGGAUUCUGUGGGGGGAAAUGUUCCAAAUGAAUCAAUUAAUGCUGCCAGCAACAAGUUCAAUACCACUGCACUGAGUGCCCCUGCUUUACAUCAGUGCAUGAAUGAAUUAUUGGUGCUCAUAUAAUUUUCAGAUCAUCGUUAUAAUGCAGUAGAAAAUUUCUUCUGCCCAGGUAGCAUCUAAGCAGAGAGCUGCAAUACCCUUCCCCCCUUAUACUCCCUAAAAUAAUUACUUACACAUAUAUGUGAGGUUUUACUUCCAGAUCUUUUAAUAUAAGACUCUCUAUGUGGACUCAAGGUCACCUCUUACACUCAUUAAACCAAUCUGAACAAAGUGUGAUAAUUCUUAAGGGAAAUCAACGCUGGAAAUGCUUUUGACUUUUUGGAGACAUGGGCAGAAUUCAUCAUCAGAUUGCCAUCUUCCACAUUGUGAAGAGAAUCAGUCAGCCUAUGGAAAGGCCCACAUAGCAAAUAACAAAGACCUGCUGGAAUUCAUGGAAAGGAGUUGAGACUUGGACCUAUUGAGUCUACCAAUGGCUAUGAGGGUGCAGAGGCGGUGCCCUGGGCCAGAGCGUGCCUUCGACAGGAGCUUCGAGUAGCUGGGCGGGAAGAACCGUCUCCGCAGAUACUUGAGAACGUACGGGGCAGACAGCAGUUUAGCGCCGCCUUCAGCCCAAGGUGUGAUCCUGAAGACUUGGGAUCAAGUCCUAUGUCAGGCUCCCUGCAUGGAGCCUGCUUCUCCUUCUCCCUGUGUCUCUGUUUCUGUCUCUCUCUCUCUCUCUUUUUCUCUCUCUCUGUGUCUCUUAUGAAUAAAUAAAUAAAAUCUUAAAAAAAAAAAACCUGGUAUUUGGAGAUGAAACAGUUACAAAGAAAUUAGAGAGUUAAUCCCAUCAUACAUCUUUCAUUUUGUCCUAAACAACUGAGACCAUAUCCAUAUAAGCACAAUUAUAUAUUUUCUAAAAUAUUUUUGUAUUGUAUAUAUUGUUUUAAUAUCAUUUUCGUUCAUUUACAAUCUAUCCUGCAGUUUUUUUUCCUAUCACUAGUUUUCCAUGCCCUAAUUUUUUUAAUAAUAAAUUUAUUUUUUAUUGGUGUUCAAUUUGCCAACAUUCAGAAUAACACCCAGUGCUCAUCCCGUCAAG
This is a long non-coding RNA of Canis lupus familiaris (dog), 1336 nucleotides long. RefSeq lists it as uncharacterized. NCBI's taxonomy places the organism in Eukaryota, Metazoa, Chordata, Mammalia, Carnivora, Canidae. The transcript has 3 exons. The record is from RefSeq and is a predicted model, not a curated record.